RNAcentral lists this ribosomal RNA (981 nucleotides) under Triticum aestivum (bread wheat). Its description in RNAcentral is "partial small subunit ribosomal RNA". The record is from RNAcentral. Lineage: Eukaryota; Viridiplantae; Streptophyta; Magnoliopsida; Poales; Poaceae.
AUGCUCCGGGAGAAGCUCGCCUCCCCCCACGCCCGCCGCUUCCUCAACGUCUCCACCGGCGAGUGCAUAGAAACGGAAAUCUUGGAGCUCCGCGAGCAUGACGAGCUCGGGGUCACCCCCGAGGGCCUCAUCAUCUUGCUCCACGGGCGCACCCACGUCCGCCUGCUCAACCCGCUGACGCGCCAGCAGCUCACGGAUCUCCCGCCGUUAACCACGCUGCUGCCUCCAGAGCGCCACUCCGACCUCCUUCCGGACCGUGAUUUUCCUCUCAGAGCGUGGGGCUCCGGCAUUGCCGCAGAUGAUUCCUCGGUCGUGCUUUGUUUCGACUCGCUAUGCAUUGUAGGCAUCGCCAAGCCCGGCGACGAGCGCUGGACAAUGGUCCGGUACAAGAUUUCGGUGCACACAGCACCCUUGAUGUUUGCAGGCCGCUUCUAUUGCACCACAGAAAAUGGCGUCUUGCUGCUAGAGACCAGUGAAGAUGAGCCACCGCGCAUGGAGGUGGCUGCCAGAUUGCGAAAGCCAAUCUCCGCGAUGUUAAAUGAUAGCGCACACCUGGUGAAUAACGACGGGGAACUGAUGCUGGUGCACCGCACGAUUCGGUACCUUAGGAAUAGGUCAAGGAGGAGGACGUAUCACGUUUAUAAGGUGGAUUUGGACACCGGGACUCUAUUCCCGGUCAAGAGCCUGGGCGGCCGAGCAUUGUUCAUGGGCAUGCAUUGCUCUUUUUCGGUUUCCACCAAGAUUUUCCCCUCUAUAAGCGGUGAUACCAUCUACUUGAGCUUUGAUCUCAAGGAGAGAGUCCAUGAUGAAGAAAUAGAGGCCUACCAUCUGCCAAAUGGAAGCACGAAAUCUGCACAUUACAACCUAGACAGCUCCGUGCCGUGGCCUCAUAAAGUAGUGCCGGGGCCUCAUACUCUCAUUGAUUGUUUCUCCUUGUGCAAUACCGUUGAACCAUGUCCAAAACAUGUAGCAUUGGUCAAC